Molecule: non-coding RNA, 3201 nt
Organism: Leptonychotes weddellii (Weddell seal)
Lineage: Eukaryota; Metazoa; Chordata; Mammalia; Carnivora; Phocidae
Source: RefSeq, a predicted model, not a curated record
AGGCCACUCAGUUCCUGACUGAGAACGUGCACGUGGAGGAGAUUGCUGUUUUGGGGGGCUGAACCACUAAAGCCCAAGUUCAGGGAGCAUAGAAUAACCAUCUUUUAUGAGACAUAGGAACCAGAGAGACCAGAGAAGAACAGAGAGCUGACUGUACCUGAAAGAAACGACACCCCAGAAGCAAUGAGCACACCUAGCACAGAGAUCUUGGUGUCUGACGCUAUUCUCCAAUAAAAGGAAACAUGGCUGCUUCUUCACCUGGGGCAAAAAAGAGAAGAGACAGGGAGAAGACAUGGGAGAAAGCCAUGUGAAGAUGGAGGCAGAAAUUGGAGUUAUCCAAGCCAGGAAACACCAGGAGGCACCAGAACCUGGAAGAAGGAAGGAAGGAUUUUCCCUUAAAGCCUUUGGAUGGAGUGUGACCCCUACUGACACCUUGAUAUCAGACUUAUGGCCUCCAGGACUGUGAAAAAGCUGCACCUGCUUCUGGACACCGCAUCAGCUGCCCCCCCUAUCUUCCGCUUCCGUGGAACUUCAGUUUGCCCAUCAUGCUUCCCUGGGCCUUUUCUCUGUUAUCGUAACUUUCACCUUAAACUCUGACGAGUAACUGGAAAACAUUUCACGUGUUUCUUAUUCCAAAUUUAAGUUUACAGAAGCAGGAAUAGGACAGGCCUGAAUAAUCUUUUCAAGUCAGACCAUAGAGGUCACUGUUGCCUGGUCAGCCUGGAGUCAAGGGACCGUUUGUUAUAUCCGUGACAGUUCAGCUGAGGUUUUCAUACAGUGCACUCAGAAUCCUUUGAUAGCACACUCAGGCCAUCCAUAGCUUCCUUUGUUCAUACACUGGUUGCAGGUAGAAAAGCCCAUUGGCUAGAUUUCAGGAAUAAAGUAUUUCUCCAAAUAAAAUGGAAGUUUAUAUUGCUUCUGAUUCCUACUCCUGAACACCCUCUUCCUCACCCAUUUUAAAACCCAAGACAUCUGAUUAAAGCCACCUGAGAGCCCCAGGACUAUCCACAGGAUACCAAACAGUGGUCUUUAGGAAGCUUGAGCUUUCACUGCCCUCUAGUGGAGAGGAGGAGGCAGUUUUGUUGUUACUAAUAAUUGGGGUUCGCGUUUGAACAGAUAAACAGGAUCCACCUUAUUGUCCAAAAAGAGACAUAAGGAGAGAAGAGAGUUUUUGUAUAAAGGGGUAAAUAAGGAGUUUGUAUAGGAUGCCAAAACAGUCUGGGAAGAAAGGAAGAACAUGGAGGAAAGCCUGAAUGCUGGGAGCCCUAAGCUCAGAGAAAGCACAUCAGUAAAGCUGAGGCCCAGAAGUUUCCAAGGAAUGAAGCAUUGUCUGAAUGACAGGAGCUGCGUGGGAGCUAAGUCCUCAUGAGAAGACUGCCUACAUGGUGCUCACCGGAUAGGAGCACCAUCCACAGCACUCACCCACUGUCAGCACUGUCAGACUUCCAAGCACCUGCACCCAAGUGUGUGUGUGGUAUACGGCCAAGACCAUCCCAACUCCAAGUUUUCCCAUGGGAUGCUUCCUCAGAGCAUCUCUUCAGCUCCACAAUCAAUGCCUGUAACAUGAUUCCGUGCUCAAAAGCUGGUUUCAUGAACUGUAUAUCAACAGGGACUUGUAUACCCCAAGUUCCCAGUUGAAAGGAACUCUUGCACAAGUUUUUGAAUGGUCCAAUAAAAACACUGUGACAUCCUAGCUAAGACAUUGGAAAAUGCAUUCCUAUGUUCUACUUCAAUGUUUUUUCUUGGAGAGACUCAACUGAGUAUUAUUUGUAGCCAAAAUAAAUGGAUGUAGAUAGACCCUGUCAUAUAGACCUAAUGUAAAUAUGCGGCUAAUGCUUGUCUUUUACAGCAGAAAAGUAUACACUGUUGAACUACUUAUCUGCAUUGUCAGGCUAUUAAGCUACUUAAGUGAGUAAGUAUGGACUCACUCUUAAAACUAGGGAGUAAAUGCAUAAUGAUGCAUAACUUCAACCGUUAUAACAAAACUAACCCUACCUGAAUCAACAAGGCUUGCCUGUCUACCAUGGGGCUUUGUGGUAUAUUGAGUCUAAGCUGAGUAUACUGUAUCAAUGGACUGGUGUACACUGGUUUUUAUGUGUGAUGAUCCAACUGGUUGGUACAAAAACAUGGCAUCUUACAUCAUCUACUAGGAGAUUCUAGCCUGCAAGUCAAUCAAAUAUUUAUGAAUAAUACACUAGAGACAUAUUGUCAGCAAAAAAUGAUGAAUAGUGCCUUCACAAGGCAUUCCUGAAAAUUGCCCAGAGGAGUCACCAAAAAUGGCCCUUAAUUUAUUUCACUGUUUUCAUGUUUCUAUUUUACAUGGGCAGUGCAAGGACAAACUGAGAUCUCCACCCAAUAAGAAAUCAAACUGUGAAAAGAAUCCCAUUGAAUUUAUGGAUCAGCCACUGAAGCAGACCAUAGCAGUCCCCAAAGGAAUAAACACCUUAUACCACAAGCAAGAUGCAGGGAAGAACAUAGUAUUGAUGUCAAAUCAGAGUGCUGUUGGCAAGCACAAAAUAUCUAAGCCAAGAAAUACUUCCCCAAUUCUGUUCAAGAGCUAAUGAUACAUUCUGUGUUUGAGAAGAGAAUCAUAUGGAAUCGAUUGUUAACUCUCUGGUAUAAAUUUCUGUUUGGAUACUAAUUAGUAAAGAAUGCAGUCCAUUAUCACUGAGAGGUAAGGAGGCCCUGCAAAAGGGUAAGGUAAGGAGGUAAGGAGGCCCUGCAAAAGGGAGAGACAAAGUCCCUCUGACAGUGGUUUUUAGGUCAGUAUAUAUGGGCAUCACCUGGAGGGCUUGUUAAAACAUUGCUGGGGCCCCACCUACCCAGAGUUUCUGAUUCAGUUAGUUGGUCUGGGGGUCAGGCCCCAGAAUUUGCAAUUCUAAGUGCCCAGGUAAGGGUGAUGAUGCUAGUCUGGGAAACCAUAUUUUGUAAACCAUUGACCUUGGCAUCAUGUUGGACUCCCUGUUUUUAAAAACAUUGGGAACAAGUAUGUGGAAGUGACAUACAUCAAAUUAGACAUAGGAAAGGAAUGCUGAUGACUGAUCCUUUUUCUACCCAUUUCUAAUCUUACAGGAAAGAAAAAGACCUAUAGUGAUGUUUUUCUUAUGCUCUAGGUUCUUUACAUAAUUAUUUCAUAAGCACAGCAUUCUUGAGCAAACAGAAUUUGGUAAACUGUAUAAUACAUAAAUAAUAAAAUGUGUA